RNAcentral lists this microRNA precursor (93 nucleotides) under Pongo abelii (Sumatran orangutan). Its description in RNAcentral is "miRNA". Lineage: Eukaryota; Metazoa; Chordata; Mammalia; Primates; Hominidae. The record is from RNAcentral.
ACCGCCCCCGCCCCCCGCCAUCGCCUUGCAGGCUGACCUCUUACUUUCAGUCGGUCUUCCUCCCUGGGCUUGGUGUGGGGGCGGGGGAGUGUC